GAUCAACGCUGGCGGCGUGCUUAACACAUGCAAGUCGAACGAAGUUUUUCCUUCGGGAGAAACUUAGUGGCGGACGGGUGAGUAACGCGUGGGUAACCUGCCCUGUACAGGGGGACAACAGCUGUAAACGGCUGCUAAUACCGCAUAAGCCCUUAGCACUGCAUGGUGCAUAGGGAAAAGGAGCAAUCCGGUACAGGAUGGACCCGCGUCUGAUUAGCCAGUUGGCAGGGUAACGGCCUACCAAAGCGACGAUCAGUAGCCGAUCUGAGAGGAUGUACGGCCACAUUGGGACUGAGACACGGCCCAGACUCCUACGGGAGGCAGCAGUGGGGAAUAUUGCACAAUGGAGGAAACUCUGAUGCAGCGACGCCGCGUGAGUGAAGAAGUAUUUCGGUAUGUAAAGCUCUAUCAGCAGGGAAGAAAAUGACGGUACCUGACUAAGAAGCACCGGCUAAAUACGUG
RNAcentral lists this ribosomal RNA (462 nucleotides) under uncultured bacterium. RNAcentral describes it as "partial 16S ribosomal RNA". It matches the Rfam family "Bacterial small subunit ribosomal RNA", at positions 28 to 507 of the family's 1533-position model. The record is from RNAcentral.